RNAcentral lists this ribosomal RNA (256 nucleotides) under uncultured bacterium. Its description in RNAcentral is "partial 16S ribosomal RNA". It matches the Rfam family "Bacterial small subunit ribosomal RNA", at positions 793 to 1055 of the family's 1533-position model. The record is from RNAcentral.
GUCCACGCCGUAAACGAUGGAUACUAGCUGUUGGGGGUAACCUCAGUGGCUAAGCGAAAGUGAUAAGUAUCCCACCUGGGGAGUACGUUCGCAAGAAUGAAACUCAAAGGAAUUGACGGGGGCCCGCACAAGCGGUGGAGCAUGUGGUUUAAUUCGAUGAUACGCGAGGAACCUUACCAAGGCUUAAAAUGUAGUUUGACAGGUUUGGAAACAGAUCUUUCUUCGGACAAAUUACAAGGUGCUGCAUGGUUGUCGU